This 76-nucleotide transfer RNA is filed under the name Candidatus Peregrinibacteria bacterium CG11_big_fil_rev_8_21_14_0_20_46_8. Its description in RNAcentral is "tRNA-Gly". It matches the Rfam family "tRNA". Rfam says of the family: Transfer RNA (tRNA) molecules are approximately 80 nucleotides in length. Lineage: Bacteria; Candidatus Peregrinibacteriota. The record is from RNAcentral.
GCGGGUAUCGUAUAGUGGCUCAUUAUGUCAGCCUUCCAAGCUGAAGAGACGGGUUCGAUUCCCGUUACCCGCUCCA